AAAGGAUUCAUGUCAAUGUAUGGCAAAACCAAUACAAUAUUGUAAAGUAAUUAGCCUCCAAUUAAAAUAAAUAAAUUCAUAUUUUAAAAAAGGAUCUAUAUAUGACUUAAAUAUUGUUUUUUAACUUCAAUUAUAUAAAUGGACUUAUUUGGGGAUACAGUUCUCCAGAGGUCUCGUGCAGUUCUCUACAUCUCAUUAGCAGAGGCAUUGAGAGCAUUGCCUCUGGAUCAUCUUGUCAAGGAUGUUUGUAUAGCAAGCAGAAGAUAGUGGCUAGUUUUGGAAGACAGACAUAGCCUCCCUUUCUGAGGCAGAUGGCAGGUUUGUUUGCUGUCUGGUCUAAUAAAGACAGCAUUUCCCCCUGGGCAAAGUUCAGCUAGGUUUGCUUGCAGCCCAUCAUGAAUGUUAGGGUUCUCUAUACUCAGUGUCCCUCAGCUGUGUUGCAAACCCACUUCAUGUAUAGCAUCCACCUGGGGCCAAUCUGUGGCAUUGGUGGGAUAAAGGGAAUCAGUGCCUGCUGUGCUAUGAGUGCUAAAGUCCUUGUGCCUGACCUCGAGUCUCUUAUAUUCCCUCAGCAUCCAGGAACCUGUGGCAGAUGAACUUGUUAGCUGGCAAGUACAGCACUACCUCCAAGCUUUCACAGUACAGCCAAGACCCCUUGAGUACAGGACCUAAUACUUUAGCCACCUGAUGGGAAGAGCUGACUUAUUGAAAAAGACCCUGAUGCUAGGAAAGAUUGAAGGGAAAAGGAGAAGAGGGUGGCAGAGGAUGAGAUGGUUAGAUAGCAUUACUGACUCAAUGGACAUGAACUUGAGCAAACUCUGGAAGAUGGUGGAGGGAAGCCUGGCGUGCUGCAGUCCAUGGGAUCAUAAAAAGCUGGACACGACUUAGCAACUGAACAACAGCAACAGGACCCAAUCACCAUGAGAAGAAGCCCAAGCUAGCCACAUAGAAAGUAAAAGAGCAAAAGGUCACAGCCUCCCAACUGUCCCCACUGGGGCACCAAACUUGUGAACAAAGCCAUCUGACUGCAUCCACGUGAGAGACCUCAAUUGAGACAAACAGAAGAACAGCCCAGCAGAGCCCCAGCCAAACGACAGAAGGGUAAACAGAUACAGUGGUUGCUGUUUUCAGCUGAUGUGUUACACAGCAAUAGAUCAUCGAAAGAUGAUCACUUAUGUGAAUAGUUACAUCACGUAUGGAAAAUAAACUCAAAAAUCAUACUUUGUGUUCUUAUCUGGUUAAAUUGCUGAGGUCUUCACUGUUUCGAUGACUUUCAGAAAGAACAUGGG
Molecule: long non-coding RNA, 1289 nt
Organism: Bos taurus (domestic cattle)
Lineage: Eukaryota; Metazoa; Chordata; Mammalia; Artiodactyla; Bovidae
Source: Ensembl